AUUUAAGAAAAUCACGAACUGAACAUCAGCCUUCUAGUGAUAGAUUGUGAAUGUGGCAGUGCAAAGAAAGCUCCUGGGCUUCAUCAAAUGUCACCAUGUCCUAGGCUUGUCGAACGACUUGAGGAACACAAAAGAAGCAAUUUUGAAGAAUGUUGGUAACAGAAAACCGUGGGUCCCCAUUGACCCCCCAUUUUGUGUUCUGCAGAAGAUAGAAAGUCAUACAGGUUUGAAAUGG
Triplophysa rosa is the source of this 235-nucleotide long non-coding RNA. RefSeq lists it as uncharacterized. Lineage: Eukaryota; Metazoa; Chordata; Actinopteri; Cypriniformes; Nemacheilidae. The transcript has 3 exons. The record is from RefSeq and is a predicted model, not a curated record.